GACGAACGCUGGCGGCGUGCCUAAUACAUGCAAGUAGAACGCUGAAGAGAGGAGCUUGCUCUUCUUGGAUGAGUUGCGAACGGGUGAGUAACGCGUAGGUAACCUGCCUUGUAGCGGGGGAUAACUAUUGGAAACGAUAGCUAAUACCGCAUAACAAUGGAUGACACAUGUCAUUUAUUUGAAAGGGGCAAUUGCUCCACUACAAGAUGGACCUGCGUUGUAUUAGCUAGUAGGUGAGGUAAUGGCUCACCUAGGCGACGAUACAUAGCCGACCUGAGAGGGUGAUCGGCCACACUGGGACUGAGACACGGCCCAGACUCCUACGGGAGGCAGCAGUAGGGAAUCUUCAGCAAUGGGGGCAACCCUGACCGAGCAACGCCGCGUGAGUGAAGAAGGUUUUCGGAUCGUAAAGCUCUGUUGUAAGUCAAGAACGGGUGUGAGAGUGGAAAGUUCACACUGUGACGGUAGCUUACCAGAAAGGGACGGCUAACUACGUG
This 497-nucleotide ribosomal RNA is filed under the name uncultured bacterium. Its description in RNAcentral is "partial 16S ribosomal RNA". It matches the Rfam family "Bacterial small subunit ribosomal RNA", at positions 28 to 507 of the family's 1533-position model. The record is from RNAcentral.